RNAcentral lists this small nucleolar RNA (106 nucleotides) under Helianthus annuus (common sunflower). RNAcentral's name for it is "Plant small nucleolar RNA R71". It matches the Rfam family "Plant small nucleolar RNA R71". From Rfam's summary of the family: R71 is a member of the C/D box family of snoRNAs containing the C (UGAUGA) and D (CUGA) box motifs. Multiple nearly identical copies of this snoRNA have been identified in Arabidopsis, and it is thought to function as a 2'-O-ribose methylation guide for 18S ribosomal RNA. The record is from RNAcentral. Lineage: Eukaryota; Viridiplantae; Streptophyta; Magnoliopsida; Asterales; Asteraceae.
AUUCCAUGAUGCGGGCAAUUUUUGAUCAUCAUAUUAAAGCGCUCAAAGGCUUCAUGAAACAUUUUGCCUUGUUGUUGUUGGAAACUCCUGAACCCCUUCCUAGCAU